GCGAAAAGAGUUGGAAUUUGUCAUGUAAUUGCUGCUAUAAUUAUUGUUUCUUUGUGUAUUACUGUUUUUUCCUGUUAUGCAUGUUUUGAUCUCAUGUUGGAUUGAUAAGGAGUUGUGAUUGUCAAUUAACCAUCUUCUAUUGCAUUUAUUUCUAAAUGAAUUUCCUUUUCGUUUGUUACUGACUGAUUGGUUAUUACUAAAAAAAAAAGAAAAAAAAAGAAGAGAACAAAGUCAGUAUUAGGCAGACUUCCCAUUAACGACAAUCCUCCCACCAUCAUCAGUCAGAACCACUACUGAUAAGUUUCUCUCUUCAUUUUUCAGUUUGUUCAUUAAAUAUGAUCAUAAUUUGAUAUUUUAUUUGGAGUGGUUUCAAUUUAGGUCAUUUCAGUUUAUGCAUUAAAUUUGAUCAAGUGUUUUUAUAUUUGUUUGGAUUGGUUUCAGUUUAGGUCUUUGUGUCUCUUUUGCCAAUGGUUGCCAUAUUUUAAAAGAAGAAAAGGAAGAAAAAAGCCUUCAGUUGAGAUAAUGAACCCGUUAAGAAUUUUUCAAUCACAUAGAGAGCAGAGUAUUUUUGAUCUUUUCAAUUUCUUUUACGCUUCUUGAAUGAGCAUUCCUGGCCAAGAGUUUCCAAUCGUUCCAUUCAGCAUUUAUUUAUUUAACUCUCUCUUGGAUUCAAUUGUGAAUUUCAUUUGUCAUUGAUUGAUUUCUAUUCCAAAUCUGUGUAAUAAAAAAUUAAAGGGUUUUUCUUUAACUUUUCUUUUCUAGGUUUGUAGGUGAAAAGGCAAAUCCUUGGAAGCAAUCUGAGUAAAAACAGUACUACCAAGAUUGAAACAGUUCAGGGCCGGCUGUUAUGUGAUUAAUUUUACAAUCUGCAUACUAUGCUAUCAACCACAUCUAUGCUGCUGGAUGCCACUUCUCUCUGUACAACAAUCUGUCACUAAACAGGUAACUAUCGAUUGUCAUUCACAUGGGCAACAAAGCUCUACAUCAACUUUGACAUUGACAUUCCAAAAGA
Molecule: long non-coding RNA, 1012 nt
Organism: Quercus lobata
Lineage: Eukaryota; Viridiplantae; Streptophyta; Magnoliopsida; Fagales; Fagaceae
Exons: 3
Source: RefSeq, a predicted model, not a curated record